AUACGUAGGGGACGAGCGUUGUCCGGAAUUACUGGGCGUAAAGGGCGCGCAGGCGGAUAUUUAAGUCAGCUGUAAAAGGCAUGAGCUCAACUCAUGUAUGCGGUUGAAACUGGGUAUCUAGAGUGCUGGAGAGGUAGGCGGAAUUCCCGGUGUAGCGGUGAAAUGCGUAGAUAUCGGGAAGAACACCAGUGGCGAAGGCGGCUUACUGGCCAGCAACUGACGCUGAGGCGCGAAAGCCAGGGGAGCGAACGGGAUUAGAUACCCCGGUAGUCCUGGCAGUAAACGAUGUAUGCUGGGUGUGAGACUAGCGAUAGUUUCGUGCCGAAGUUAACGCGAUAAGCAUACCGCCUGGGGUGUACGGUCGCAAGAUUGAAACUCAAAUGAAUUGGCGGGG
RNAcentral lists this ribosomal RNA (394 nucleotides) under uncultured bacterium. RNAcentral describes it as "partial 16S ribosomal RNA". It matches the Rfam family "Bacterial small subunit ribosomal RNA", at positions 523 to 918 of the family's 1533-position model. The record is from RNAcentral.